This 255-nucleotide ribosomal RNA is filed under the name uncultured Synechococcus sp. RNAcentral describes it as "partial 16S ribosomal RNA". It matches the Rfam family "Bacterial small subunit ribosomal RNA", at positions 1280 to 1533 of the family's 1533-position model. Lineage: Bacteria; Bacillati; Cyanobacteriota; Cyanophyceae; Synechococcales; Synechococcaceae. The record is from RNAcentral.
ACCGUGGCUCAGUUCAGAUCGUAGGCUGCAACUCGCCUACGUGAAGGAGGAAUCGCUAGUAAUCGCAGGUCAGCAUACUGCGGUGAAUACGUUCCCGGGCCUUGUACACACCGCCCGUCACACCAUGGAAGUUGGCCACGCCCGAAGCCGUUACUCCAACCCUUGUGGAGGAGGACGUCGAAGGUGGGGCUGAUGACUGGGGUGAAGUCGUAACAAGGUAGCCGUACCGGAAGGUGCGGCUGGAUCACCUCCUAA